GCCCUCGUCGUCCAAUGGAUAGGACACAAGUUUGCGGAACUUGUAAUCGAGGUUCGAAUCCUCGCGAGGGCA
RNAcentral lists this transfer RNA (72 nucleotides) under Parcubacteria bacterium DG_74_2. RNAcentral describes it as "tRNA-Arg". It matches the Rfam family "tRNA". From Rfam's summary of the family: Transfer RNA (tRNA) molecules are approximately 80 nucleotides in length. Their secondary structure includes four short double-helical elements and three loops (D, anti-codon, and T loops). Lineage: Bacteria; Candidatus Parcubacteria. The record is from RNAcentral. RNAcentral also lists the same sequence under 1 other name.